UACGUAGGUGGCUAGCGUUGUCCGGAUUUACUGGGCGUAAAGAGCGCGCAGGCGGUCGUUCAAGUCGCGUGUGAAAGCCCCCCGGCUCAACUGGGGAGGGUCACGCGAUACUGAUCGACUCGAAGGCAGGAGAGGGUAGUGGAAUUCCCGGUGUAGUGGUGAAAUGCGUAGAUAUCGGGAGGAACACCUGUGGCGAAGGCGGCUUUCUGGGCCUUACCUGACGCUGAGACGCGAAAGCGUGGGGAGCGAACCGG
RNAcentral lists this ribosomal RNA (254 nucleotides) under uncultured bacterium. Its description in RNAcentral is "partial 16S ribosomal RNA". It matches the Rfam family "Bacterial small subunit ribosomal RNA", at positions 524 to 776 of the family's 1533-position model. The record is from RNAcentral.